Molecule: ribosomal RNA, 253 nt
Filed under: uncultured bacterium
Lineage: Bacteria
Description: partial 16S ribosomal RNA
Rfam family: Bacterial small subunit ribosomal RNA
Source: RNAcentral
UACGUAGGUGGCAAGCGUUGUCCGGAUUUAUUGGGCGUAAAGGGAGCGCAGGUGGUUUCUUAAGUCUGAUGUGAAAGCCCACGGCUUAACCGUGGAGGGUCAUUGGAAACUGGGAAACUUGAGUACAGAAGAGGAAUGUGGAACUCCAUGUGUAGCGGUGGAAUGCGUAGAUAUAUGGAAGAACACCAGUGGCGAAGGCGACAUUCUGGACACAAACUGACGCUGAGGUACGAAAGCGUGGGGAGCAAACAGG